This 1360-nucleotide ribosomal RNA is filed under the name uncultured bacterium. RNAcentral describes it as "bacterial SSU rRNA". It matches the Rfam family "Bacterial small subunit ribosomal RNA". The record is from RNAcentral.
GCAGUCGAACGAAGUAGCAAUACUUAGUGGCAGACGGGUGAGUAACAUGUAGGUAUCUGCCCUUUGGCCUGGAAUAACACGAGGAAACUUGUGCUAAUACCGGAUAAGUCUUUACGGAGAAAGCUUUAUGCACCAUUGGAUGAGCCUGCACUUGAUUAGUUUGUUGGUGGGGUAAUGGCCUACCAAGACUGUGAUCAAUAGCUGAUUUGAGAGGAUGAUCAGCCACAUUGGGACUGAGACACGGCCCAAACUCCUACGGGAGGCAGCAGUGGGGAAUCUUGCACAAUGGAGGAAACUCUGAUGCAGCGAUGCCGCGUGAGUGAAGAAGGCCUUUGGGUUGUAAAGCUCUUUCGUCGGGGAAGAAAAUGACUGUACCCGAAUAAGAAGGUCCGGCUAACUUCGUGCCAGCAGCCGCGGUAAUACGAAGGGACCUAGCGUAGUUCGGAAUUACUGGGCUUAAAGAGUUCGUAGGUGGUUGAAAAAGUUGGUGGUGAAAUCCCAGAGCUUAACUCUGGAACUGCCAUCAAAACUUUUCAGCUAGAGUAUGAUAGAGGAAAGCAGAAUUUCUAGUGUAGAGGUGAAAUUCGUAGAUAUUAGAAAGAAUACCAAUUGCGAAGGCAGCUUUCUGGAUCAUUACUGACACUGAGGAACGAAAGCAUGGGUAGCGAAGAGGAUUAGAUACCCUCGUAGUCCAUGCCGUAAACGAUGUGUGUUAGACGUUGGAAAUUUAUUUUCAGUGUCGCAGCGAAAGCGAUAAACACACCGCCUGGGGAGUACGACCGCAAGGUUAAAACUCAAAUGAAUUGACGGGGACCCGCACAAGUAGUGGAGCAUGUGGUUUAAUUCGAAGAUACGCGCAGAACCUUACCAACACUUGACAUGUUCGUCGCGACUUUAAGAGAUUAAAGUUUUCGGUUCGGCCGGACGAAACACAGGUGCUGCAUGGCUGUCGUCAGCUCGUGUCGUGAGAUGUUGGGUUAAGUCCCGCAACGAGCGCAACCCUCACUUUUAGUUGCCAUCAUUAAGUUGGGCACUCUGAAAGAACUGCCAGUGAUAAGCUGGAGGAAGGUGGGGAUGACGUCAAGUCCUCAUGGCCCUUACGUGUUGGGCUACACACGUGCUACAAUGGUAUCUACAACAGGAAGCAAAACGGCGACGUUAAGCAAAUCCUUAAAAGAUACCUCAGUUCGGAUUGCACUCUGCAACUCGAGUGCAUGAAGCUGGAAUUACUAGUAAUCGUGGAUCAGCGUGCCACGGUGAAUGCGUUCCCGGGUCUUGUACACACCGCCCGUCACACCAUGGGAGUUGGUUCUACCUUAAGGCAAGGUUCNNAAACCCCUGACCCACCGUAAUGAACCGA